GGCUCGGUGGUGUAGUUGGUAACACGCUCGCAUGUCAAGUCGAGACAACAUGGGUUCGAGUCCCGUCCGAGGCA
Molecule: non-coding RNA, 74 nt
Organism: Rhypophila decipiens
Lineage: Eukaryota; Fungi; Ascomycota; Sordariomycetes; Sordariales; Naviculisporaceae
Source: the annotation of a GenBank genome assembly